AUGGCGGCCGUGAUGGCCUCCAUAACCAGCGAGCUCCUUUUCCUCCUGCCCUUCAUCCUCCUGGCCGUGCUCAGCUUCUACACCAUUACGGUGGCUAAAUGCCAUGCCGGCCGGACGAAGAAGAAGCGCCCGAAUCUGCCGCCCGGCGCCGUCGGUUGGCCCUUCAUCGGCGAGACCUUCGGGUACCUCCGCACGCACCCGGCCACCUCCAUCGGCCAGUUCAUGAACCAGCACAUCGCACGGUACGGGAAGAUAUACCGGUCGAGCCUGUUCGGGCACCCGACGGUGGUGUCGGCGGACGCAGGGCUGAACCGGUACAUCCUGCAGAACGAGGGGCGGUUGUUCGAGGUCAGCUAUCCGCCGAGCAUCGGCGGCAUCCUGGGCAAAUGGUCGAUGCUGGUGCUCGUCGGCCACCACCACCGCGAGAUGCGCUCCAUCGCCCUCGACUUCCUCAGCUCUGUCCGCCUCCGCGCCGUGCUCCUCCCGGAGGUGGAGCGCCAUACCCUCCUCGUACUCCGCGACUGGCUGCUUUCCACCUCCCCCGCCGUCUUCUCCGCCCAGCACGAAGCCAAGAAGUUCACUUAUAACCUGAUGGCGAAGAAUCUCAUGAGCAUGGACCCCGGCGAGGAGGAAACUGAGGGGCUGAGGCUGGAGUACAUCACGUUCAUGAAGGGAUUGGUGUCUGCGCCCCUAAAAUUCCCCGGGACGGCGUACUGGAAGGCCCUCAAGUCGUGGGCCACCAUACUUGGAGUAAUCGAGAGGAAAAUGGAGGAGAGGCUUGAGCAGAUGAACAAGGAGGACUCGAGUACAGAAGAAGAUGAUCUUCUCGGGUGGGCGAUGAAGCAGUCUAAUCUUUCAAAAGAGCAAAUAUUGGACCUCUUGCUGAGCUUACUCUUUGCCGGGCAUGAGACAUCGUCAGUAGCACUCUCCCUCGCUAUAUUCUUCCUCGAAGGUUGCCCUAAAGCCAUCAAACAACUGCGGGAGGAGCAUCUUGAGAUUGCUAGGAGACAGAAGCUGAGAGGGGAGUGCAAAUUGAGCUGGGAAGACUACAAAGAGAUGGUUUUCACACAAUGCGUUAUAAAUGAGACCUUGCGGCUAGGCAACGUCGUCAGGUUCCUGCACCGGAAGGUCAUUCGAGAUGUGCACUACAAUGGGUAUGACAUUCCGAGCGGAUGGAAAAUUCUGCCGGUGUUAGCGGCAGUGCAUCUCGACUCAUCACUGUACGAAGAUCCCAACAGCUUCAACCCUUGGAGGUGGAAGAGCAACGCAUCCGGCGUGGCGCACAAGAGCAACUUCAUGCCCUACGGCGGUGGCACAAGGCUCUGCGCUGGGUCGGAGCUCGCCAAGCUCGAGAUUGCCAUCUUCUUGCACCACCUGGUGCUAAACUUCCGGUGGGAGCUCGCCGAGCCGGACCAGGCGUUCGUGUACCCGUUCGUGGACUUCCCCAAGGGCCUGCCCAUUAGGGUCCAUAGGAUUACACAUGAGGAAGGAGAAGAGUAA
This 1500-nucleotide ribosomal RNA is filed under the name Triticum aestivum (bread wheat). RNAcentral's name for it is "partial small subunit ribosomal RNA". Lineage: Eukaryota; Viridiplantae; Streptophyta; Magnoliopsida; Poales; Poaceae. The record is from RNAcentral.